Molecule: ribosomal RNA, 253 nt
Filed under: uncultured Oscillospira sp.
Lineage: Bacteria; Bacillati; Bacillota; Clostridia; Eubacteriales; Oscillospiraceae
Description: partial 16S ribosomal RNA
Rfam family: Bacterial small subunit ribosomal RNA
Source: RNAcentral
UACGGAGGGUGCAAGCGUUACUCGGAAUCACUGGGCGUAAAGAGCGCGUAGGCGGGAUAGCAAGUCAGAUGUGAAAACUAUGGGCUCAACCCAUAGCCUGCAUUUGAAACUGUAUUUCUUGAGUGCUGGAGAGGCAAUCGGAAUUCCGUGUGUAGCGGUGAAAUGCGUAGAUAUACGGAGGAACACCAGUGGCGAAGGCGGAUUGCUGGACAGUAACUGACGCUGAGGCGCGAAAGCGUGGGGAGCAAACAGG